AACCCAGUCAGUUUUCACAGGAUCACCAACCAAAACCUUAAUCUGUUUGUUUUUCGGGAUCACAAACAAUCCAACUGGUUUUCACAGGCUCACCAACCAAAACCUUAACCCGCUUGUUUUUCGGGAUCACAAACAACCCAAUUAGUUUUCACAGGCUCUCCAACCAAAACCUUAACAUGUUUGUUUUUUGGGAUCACAAACAACCCAGCUAGUUUUCACAGGCUCACCAACCAAAACCUUAACACGUUUAUUUUUCGGGCUCACAAAUAACUCAACUGGUUUUCACAGGUUCACCAACCAUAACCAUAACACGUUUGUUUUUCGGGAUGAUAAACAACCCAGCUGGUUUUCACAGGCUCACCAACCAAAAUCUUAACCCUUGUUGAAUCUCCUAAUUCAACAACUUUCAAUUCAGGUUUGGAAGAACCUUUACCAAUUUCAGAAACAA
Molecule: long non-coding RNA, 448 nt
Filed under: Phoenix dactylifera (date palm)
Lineage: Eukaryota; Viridiplantae; Streptophyta; Magnoliopsida; Arecales; Arecaceae
Description: long non-coding RNA (PDAC_LNC008227)
Source: RNAcentral